CCAUCUUAAAUUUUCGUAGGAUUUCAUAUCUCUUUGUAAAGAACCCGAAGUUUCAUUAGCAAUUCAUGCAUAAAUUACUGAACAUAAAAAUAUUCGGAAACAAACCACUUGAACAAAAUUAUCUUACCUCAUUUAUUGGAAGGUUGUAAAAUAACGCAUGUGAAAACCCUUUUCCUAUAUUUCUAUCUCUGCCUCAACUCUCUCUGACCAUGUCUAUUAAUAAAUACUCCGUGGUGAAAAUUUCUUGACAUCAUGGAAUAUUUAUAGUGAAAAAUAAAUAUUUACAAAUUGAGUUUUAAUACAAUAGCAAUACAAAAGCUGUGUAAC
Molecule: long non-coding RNA, 327 nt
Filed under: Olea europaea (common olive)
Lineage: Eukaryota; Viridiplantae; Streptophyta; Magnoliopsida; Lamiales; Oleaceae
Description: long non-coding RNA (OEUR_LNC003261)
Source: RNAcentral